RNAcentral lists this ribosomal RNA (762 nucleotides) under uncultured bacterium. RNAcentral's name for it is "bacterial SSU rRNA". It matches the Rfam family "Bacterial small subunit ribosomal RNA", at positions 28 to 776 of the family's 1533-position model. The record is from RNAcentral.
AUUGAACGCUGGCGGCAGGCUUAACACAUGCAAGUCGGACGGUAACAGGGAGGAAGCUUGCUUUCUUUGCUGACGAGUGGCGGACGGGUGAGUAAUGCUUGGGAAUCUGUUUUAUGGAGGGGGAUAACUACGGGAAACUGUAGCUAAUACCGCGUAAUAUCGAGAGAUUAAAGUGUGGGACCGUAAGGCCACAUGCCAUAGAGUGAGCCCAAGUGGGAUUAGGUAGUUGGUGGGGUAAAGGCCUACCAAGCCGUCGAUCUCUAGCUGGUCUGAGAGGAUGACCAGCCACACUGGGACUGAGACACGGCCCAGACUCCUACGGGAGGCAGCAGUGGGGAAUAUUGCACAAUGGGCGCAAGCCUGACGCAGCCAUGCCGCGUGAAUGAAGAAGGCCUUCGGGUUGUAAAGUUCUUUCGGUGGUGAGGAAGGUUGUAAUGUUAAUAGCAUUAUAAUUUGACGUUAGCCACAGAAGAAGCACCGGCUAACUCCGUGCCAGCAGCCGCGGUAAUACGGAGGGUGCGAGCGUUAAUCGGAAUAACUGGGCGUAAAGGGCACGCAGGCGGAUACUUAAGUGAGGUGUGAAAGCCCUGGGCUUAACCUAGGAAUUGCAUUUCAUACUGGGUAUCUAGAGUAUUUUAGGGAGGGGUAGAAUUCCACGUGUAGCGGUGAAAUGCGUAGAGAUGUGGAGGAAUACCGAAGGCGAAGGCAGCCCCUUGGGGGAAUACUGACGCUCAUGUGCGAAAGCGUGGGGGAGCAAACAGG